ACACAGCACAUUAUUUUCUAUCUUGUUUUUGUCUCUAUACUAAUCUAGAACUAUAUAGAAGUAGAUCUGUACUGUCAAGCUAUUAAACCAGUUUUUUCCUAUAAUGGCUACUGUUGAUAGCAAUGAGGAGGAUGGGGAGAUGCAGUCAUCAACUGACUAUUAUGACCUCUUGCAAGUAGACAAAGAUGCAAGUCGAGCCGAUAUCAAGGCUGCUUAUCAUAAAAUGUCUCGAAAAUACCAUCCAGACAAAACCCUUGAUUCAA
This is a long non-coding RNA of Amphimedon queenslandica, 263 nucleotides long. RefSeq lists it as uncharacterized. The record is from RefSeq and is a predicted model, not a curated record. Lineage: Eukaryota; Metazoa; Porifera; Demospongiae; Haplosclerida; Niphatidae. The transcript has 2 exons.